AGGAUUAGAUACCCUGGUAGUCCACGCCGUAAACGAUGUCGACUUGGAGGUUGUUCCCUAGGUUAAAACUCAAAUGAAUUGACGGGGGCCCGCACAAGCGGUGGAGCAUGUGGUUUAAUUCGAUGCAACGCGAAGAACCUUGAGGAGUGGCUUCCGGAGCUAACGCGUUAAGUCGACCGCCUGGGGAGUACGGCCGCAUACCUACUCUUGACAUCCAGAGAACUUAGCAGAGAUGCUUUGGUGCCUUCGGGAACUCUGAGACAGGUGCUGCAUGGCUGUCGUCAGCUCGUGUUGUGAAAUGUUGGGUUAAGUCCCGCAACGAGCGCAACCCUUAUCCUUUGUUGCCAGCGAUUCGGUCGGGAACUCAAAGGAGACUGCCGGUGAUAAACCGGAGGAAGGUGGGGAUGACGUCAAGUCAUCAUGGCCCUUACGAGUAGGGCUACACACGUGCUACAAUGGCGCAUACAAAGAGAAGCGACCUCGCGAGAGCAAGCGGACCUCACAAAGUGCGUCGUAGUCCGGAUCGGAGUCUGCAACUCGACUCCGUGAAGUCGGAAUCGCUAGUAAUCGUGGAUCAGAAUGCCACGGUGAAUACGUUCCCGGGCCUUGUACACACCGCCCGUCACACCAUGGGAGUGGGUUGCAAAAGAAGU
This 653-nucleotide ribosomal RNA is filed under the name Pantoea agglomerans. Its description in RNAcentral is "bacterial SSU rRNA". It matches the Rfam family "Bacterial small subunit ribosomal RNA", at positions 774 to 1427 of the family's 1533-position model. The record is from RNAcentral. Lineage: Bacteria; Pseudomonadati; Pseudomonadota; Gammaproteobacteria; Enterobacterales; Erwiniaceae.